RNAcentral lists this ribosomal RNA (279 nucleotides) under uncultured bacterium. RNAcentral describes it as "partial 16S ribosomal RNA". It matches the Rfam family "Bacterial small subunit ribosomal RNA", at positions 506 to 784 of the family's 1533-position model. The record is from RNAcentral.
UGCCAGCAGCCGCGGUAAUACGUAGGGAGCGAGCGUUGUCCGGAAUCACUGGGCGUAAAGGGCGCGUAGGCGGUUAUUUAAGUCAGAUGUGAAAAACCGAGGCUCAACCUCGGCCUUGCAUUUGAAACUGGAUAACUUGAGGAUGAGAGAGGAAAGUGGAAUUCCUAGUGUAGCGGUGAAAUGCGUAGAUAUUAGGAGGAACACCAGUGGCGAAGGCGACUUUCUGGCUCAUACCUGACGCUGAGGCGCGAAAGCGUGGGGAGCAAACAGGAUUAGAUA